RNAcentral lists this ribosomal RNA (658 nucleotides) under Psychrobacter sp. Its description in RNAcentral is "bacterial SSU rRNA". It matches the Rfam family "Bacterial small subunit ribosomal RNA", at positions 782 to 1439 of the family's 1533-position model. The record is from RNAcentral. Lineage: Bacteria; Pseudomonadati; Pseudomonadota; Gammaproteobacteria; Moraxellales; Moraxellaceae.
AUACCCUGGUAGUCCACGCCGUAAACGAUGUCUACUAGUCGUUGGGUCCCUUGAGGACUUAGUGACGCAGCUAACGCAAUAAGUAGACCGCCUGGGGAGUACGGCCGCAAGGUUAAAACUCAAAUGAAUUGACGGGGGCCCGCACAAGCGGUGGAGCAUGUGGUUUAAUUCGAUGCAACGCGAAGAACCUUACCUGGUCUUGACAUAUCUAGAAUCCUGCAGAGAUGCGGGAGUGCCUUCGGGAAUUAGAAUACAGGUGCUGCAUGGCUGUCGUCAGCUCGUGUCGUGAGAUGUUGGGUUAAGUCCCGCAACGAGCGCAACCCUUGUCCUUAGUUACCAGCGGGUUAAGCCGGGAACUCUAAGGAUACUGCCAGUGACAAACUGGAGGAAGGCGGGGACGACGUCAAGUCAUCAUGGCCCUUACGACCAGGGCUACACACGUGCUACAAUGGUAGGUACAGAGGGCAGCUACACAGCGAUGUGAUGCGAAUCUCAAAAAGCCUAUCGUAGUCCAGAUUGGAGUCUGCAACUCGACUCCAUGAAGUAGGAAUCGCUAGUAAUCGCGGAUCAGAAUGCCGCGGUGAAUACGUUCCCGGGCCUUGUACACACCGCCCGUCACACCAUGGGAGUUGRUUGCACCAGAAGUGGAUAGCCUAAC